CUAAGCGUACACGGUGGAUGCCCUGGCAGUCAGAGGCGAUGAAGGACGUGCUAAUCUGCGAUAAGCGCCGGUAAGGUGAUAUGAACCGUUAUAACCGGCGAUUUCCGAAUGGGGAAACCCAGUGUGAUUCGUCACACUAUCAUUAACUGAAUCCAUAGGUUAAUGAGGCGAACCGGGGGAACUGAAACAUCUAAGUACCCCGAGGAAAAGAAAUCAACCGAGAUUCCCCCAGUAGCGGCGAGCGAACGGGGAGGAGCCCAGAGCCUGAAUCAGCAUGUGUGUUAGUGGAAGCGUCUGGAAAGGCGCGCGAUACAGGGUGACAGCCCCGUACACAAAAGCGCAUGUGCUGUGAGCUCGAUGAGUAGGGCGGGACACGUGGUAUCCUGUCUGAAUAUGGGGGGACCAUCCUCCAAGGCUAAAUACUCCUGACUGACCGAUAGUGAACCAGUACCGUGAGGGAAAGGCGAAAAGAACCCCGGCGAGGGGAGUGAAAAAGAACCUGAAACCGUGUACGUACAA
This 519-nucleotide ribosomal RNA is filed under the name Salmonella enterica subsp. enterica serovar Newport. Its description in RNAcentral is "partial 23S ribosomal RNA". It matches the Rfam family "Bacterial large subunit ribosomal RNA", at positions 11 to 569 of the family's 2925-position model. The record is from RNAcentral. Lineage: Bacteria; Pseudomonadati; Pseudomonadota; Gammaproteobacteria; Enterobacterales; Enterobacteriaceae.